GAUGAACGCUGGCGGCGUGCCUAAUACAUGCCAGUAGAACGCUGAAGGAGGAGCUUGCUCUUCUGGAUGAGUUGCGAACGGGUGAGUAACGCGUAGGUAACCUGCCUGGUAGCGGGGGAUAACUAUUGGAAACGAUAGCUAAUACCGCAUGACAACAGUUAUUGCAUGAUAACUGUUUAAAAGGGGCAACUGCUCCACUACCAGAUGGACCUGCGUUGUAUUAGCUAGUUGGUGAGGUAACGGCUCACCAAGGCGACGAUACAUAGCCGACCUGAGAGGGUGAUCGGCCACACUGGGACUGAGACACGGCCCAGACUCCUACGGGAGGCAGCAGUAGGGAAUCUUCGGCAAUGGACGGAAGUCUGACCGAGCAACGCCGCGUGAGUGAAGAAGGUUUUCGGAUCGUAGAGCUCUGUUGUAAGAGAAGAACGAGUGUGAGAGUGGAAAGUUCACACUGUGACGGUAUCUUACCAGAAAGGGACGGCUAACUACGUG
Molecule: ribosomal RNA, 495 nt
Filed under: uncultured bacterium
Lineage: Bacteria
Description: partial 16S ribosomal RNA
Rfam family: Bacterial small subunit ribosomal RNA
Source: RNAcentral